RNAcentral lists this long non-coding RNA (494 nucleotides) under Ananas comosus (pineapple). RNAcentral describes it as "long non-coding RNA (ACOM_LNC006504)". Lineage: Eukaryota; Viridiplantae; Streptophyta; Magnoliopsida; Poales; Bromeliaceae. The record is from RNAcentral.
GGUGGUUAAAGCGCUGAAUAGUUGACACAUGAUGCAACUAUUUGACUCACUAGCAAUAAUAAUUUGUUGGUGGGUCAGGUAAUUAUAAUUAGUAUCAGAACUGAAUAUCAGCAGGAAGUGUAAGAGUUACGUACUAUGUGGGAUAAAGUGCCACACCAACGAAUUUGGUGGGAGCCACUUCUGAAAUCUCACAUUACCAGUAAUUCUAUCCUGUAUCUGUGAUUUGGUUUAAAUUCAACAAGAACGUCAUGAUCUAAACAUGAAAAGUUUGUAAUACCACAAUAAUACCAUAUCGGAUGAAAAAAUGAGAAUAUAUAAGACCUAAACGCUAGUAAUAAAAAUCGAGUUUAAGUAUUUUAGGCCAAUGGUUUGAGUCUAACAAGUUAUUAUUGUUAGAAUGUCUGGCCGUUACACCUGAAAUCUCAAGUUCAAAGUCCAAUAGCUUUAUAUUUUUAGCUAACUUAAUUAUUUUUAAAUAAACCCUCUCAAAUAUA